RNAcentral lists this long non-coding RNA (910 nucleotides) under Apteryx haastii (Great spotted kiwi). Its description in RNAcentral is "lncRNA (ENSAHAG00000012476.1)". The record is from RNAcentral. Lineage: Eukaryota; Metazoa; Chordata; Aves; Apterygiformes; Apterygidae.
CGGCACACAAAAUGGCGGCCGGCCGGCCCGGGGCACCGAGGUGGGGGUGGCCCGGGCCCGAGCGGCGCCCGCCGCGGUGCAGCGCCCCCCGCAGGCAGGGGACGGCGCCGCAUGGCGGGGAGGAGGGGGGAAGUUGGGGUGCCCCUGGAGGGGGCUGUUACGGGGCUUGGGGUAGCUCGAAGGUGUGUUGAGGUGGCUCGUGUCCCCCCCCCACCCCGGGGCCUUUUGGGGGUGCCCUGGGGCAUCUGGGAGGUCUAUGGGGGUGGCUGGGGCACUCUGGGUGUCCCUUGGGGUGCCCUGGGGCGCCUAGGGGGUGUUUUGGGGGGCCCUGGAUGUCCACUGGGGCUCCUUGGGGCACUUAGAAGACACACUGGAGUGGCCAGGGGUAUCCUGGGGGUCCAUUGGGGCUCCCUGGGGUGUUUGGAAGGCACAUUGAGGUGGCCAGGGGGUCCAUUGGGGUGCCCUGGGCACUUGGAAGGUACAUUGGGGUGGCCAGAGGUGUUCUGGGGGUCCAUUGGGGUGUCCUGGGACACUUGGAAGGUACAUUGGGGUAGCCAGGGGUGUCCUGGGGGUCCAUUGGGGUGUCCUGGGGCACUUGGAAGGUACAUUGAGGUGGCCAGGGGGUCCAUUGGGAUGUCCUGUGGCACCUGGAAAAUAUAAUGGGGUGACCAAGGUUGUCCUGGGUGUCCGUUGAGGUGCUCCAAGGUGCCCAAGAGAUGCACUGCGGUGGCCGGGAUGCCCUGGGGGGCGGCUGGGACACCUUGGAAAGUCCCUUGGAGUGGCCAGGGGGUCCUUUAGGGUGCCCUGGAAGGUCCCUUCGUGUGGCUGGGGUGUCCUGGGGGUCCUUCGGGGUGCCCUAGGGUGGGUAGGGGGUCUCUGAGGGUGCACUGAGGUGGGCAGGGGUCUCCUG